RNAcentral lists this ribosomal RNA (327 nucleotides) under uncultured Smithella sp. Its description in RNAcentral is "bacterial SSU rRNA". It matches the Rfam family "Bacterial small subunit ribosomal RNA", at positions 1055 to 1382 of the family's 1533-position model. Lineage: Bacteria; Pseudomonadati; Thermodesulfobacteriota; Syntrophia; Syntrophales; Smithellaceae. The record is from RNAcentral.
UCAGCUCGUGUCGUGAGAUGUUGGGUUAAGUCCCGCAACGAGCGCAACCCUUAUCUUUAAUUGCCAGCAUUCAGUUGGGCACUUUAAAGAGACUGCCGGUGUUAAACCGGGAGGAAGGUGGGAUGACGUCAAGUCCUCAUGGCCUUUAUGCUUAGGGCUACACACGUGCUACAAUGGGUGGUACAAAGAGAAGCCAACUCGCGAGAGCGCCGCCAAUCUCAAAAAGCCAUCCUCAGUUCGGAUUGGAGUCUGCAACUCGACUCCAUGAAGUUGGAAUCGCUAGUAAUCGCGGAUCAGCAUGCCGCGGUGAAUACGUUCCCGGGCCUU